UUGUAAUCAAACAAUUUCUUUAUUUUACAUGUAGGCCUCAUAGAUGUGUAUUGUUUAUGUGAUAUAUCGGAAAAGCGACUUUAGUUAACUUGAUAUCAAUGGAUAAUACUUGUUGCUAUUUUAUGGGUUACCUGAGGUAACCCUGUCAUAACAAAAUACUUAGUAGAUACUUUGCUAGUAUAUGCAUUUAUGCUGUAAUAAACCACUUUCUUCUUUUGUUAUGUAGGAAUUCAUUGAAAUUAUAUUGUUUAUGUGAUGUAUAUGUAAAAGUGAUCUGAAUUAACUUGAGUUAAAUAGGUUGUAUUUACUGUUAUUGUUUGCGUUACCGCAGGUUACCCUGUUAUGAAAGAAUUUUUAGUACAUACUUUGCUAGUGUAUACAUUUAUAUUUUAAUUACACAAUUUCUUAAUUUAGAAUGUAGGACUUCAUAGAUUUGUAUUGUUUAUGUGAUGUAUAUAUAAAGUUACCUCAGUUGACUUGAGUUUAAUGGUUGUAUUUGUUGUUAUAAUUGGGGUUACCUCAGGUAACCCUGUCAUGAAUGAAUACUUCAGAUCAUUAAUUGAACUUUUAUAUAUAAAAAAAAAAAAAAAAAGUUUAUAAUUUUACAAGCCAUCCCCACCCUACACGUACAUACGAAAUGAACGAUCGGUGAAUACAAAUAAUAAAAUCAUUUGGGAAGUUUGUUGACAUCUUUGGUAUUUGGUCACAUUAAAAUUUGGUAUUAAGAUCUAUCUAAAUAAGAACUAUAUUUUCGUGCGUAUUUAAUCAAUGACGCAUUACAAUGAUUACCUCAGGGCA
This 798-nucleotide long non-coding RNA is filed under the name Mytilus galloprovincialis (Mediterranean mussel). The record is from RNAcentral. Lineage: Eukaryota; Metazoa; Mollusca; Bivalvia; Mytilida; Mytilidae.